Molecule: ribosomal RNA, 468 nt
Filed under: uncultured bacterium
Lineage: Bacteria
Description: partial 16S ribosomal RNA
Rfam family: Bacterial small subunit ribosomal RNA
Source: RNAcentral
GACGAACGCUGGCGGCGUGCUUAACACAUGCAAGUCGAACGGAAAGGCCCUGCUUUUGUGGGGUGCUCGAGUGGCGAACGGGUGAGUAACACGUGAGAAACCUGCCCUUGACUUUGGGAUAACUUCAGGAAACUGGGGCUAAUACCGGAUAGGAGCUCCUGCUGCAUGGUGGGGGUUGGAAAGUUUCGGCGGUUGGGGAUGGACUCGCGGCUUAUCAGCUUGUUGGUGGGGUAGUGGCUUACCAAGGCUUUGACGGGUAGCCGGCCUGAGAGGGUGACCGGCCACAUUGGGACUGAGAUACGGCCCAGUCUCCUACGGGAGGCAGCAGUGGGGAAUAUUGCACAAUGGGCGGAAGCCUGAUGCAGCAACGCCGCGUGCGGGAUGACGGCCUUCGGGUUGUAAACCGCUUUCGCCUGUGACGAAGCGUGAGUGACGGUAAUGGGUAAAGAAGCACCGGCUAACUACGUG